This 317-nucleotide ribosomal RNA is filed under the name uncultured Bolbitiaceae. Its description in RNAcentral is "partial large subunit ribosomal RNA". It matches the Rfam family "Eukaryotic large subunit ribosomal RNA", at positions 40 to 350 of the family's 3401-position model. Lineage: Eukaryota; Fungi; Basidiomycota; Agaricomycetes; Agaricales; Bolbitiaceae. The record is from RNAcentral.
AUAUCAAUAAGCGGAGGAGAAGAAACUAACAAGGAUUCCCCUAGUAACUGCGAGUGAAGCGGGAAAAGCUCAAAUUUAAAAUCUGGCGGUCUCCGGCUGUCCGAGUUGUAAUCUAGAGAAGUGUUAUCCGCGCUGGACCGUGUACAAGUCUCCUGGAAUGGAGCGUCAUAGAGGGUGAGAAUCCCGUCUUUGGCACGGACCCCAGGGCUUCUGUGAUGCGCUCUCAAAGAGUCGAGUUGUUUGGGAAUGCAGCUCAAAAUGGGUGGUAAAUUUCAUCUAAAGCUAAAUAUUGGCCAGAGACCGAUAGCGCACAAGUA